UAGGAAAUAUGGGGCGAGAGGAUUGGCAGAAAUUGCUGCUUUUUCAGCUCAGUUUUUUUCCCUGGAUAGUUUAGUUCAACCCUUUGCCUUUUCUUUCUCUCAUUGAGCCAUCAGGUCAAGCAGAGAAAAAACCAAGCACACUUACAGUCAUAUUUUGAUUAUUCUUAAUUAACCAGGGGGCUUCCCUGGUUCAGACAGUAAAGAAUCCAUCUGCAAUGUGGGAAACCUGGGUUCGAUCCCUGGGCUAGGAAGAUCCCCUGGAGGAGGGCAUGGCUACCCACUUCAGUAUUCUUGCCUGGAGAAUCCCCAUGGACAGAGGGUCCUGACAGGCUACAGUCCAUGGAGUCGAAAAGAGUUGGACACAACUAAGUGACUAAGCAAUCAGAAGGUAAAAAUUUAAGGAUAAAAUAUUAUUUUUAACAGUCUUACCAAAUGUGCUUUAUUAUUAUGUUUGAAGCCAAACUUUAUCUACCUCUAAUCCCUAACCUCAUCCUUAGGACUAAUAUAUCGUCCUUUGCAUUUCAUGUACUGACCCCGGAGAAAUCUCAUGACACCAUGAUCCUCAUUUAAAUCCAUGUUUGGCCCAUCUGUUUCUUUUUUUAAGGUUCACUUCUCCACUUUGUUCUGUGCCCUGGGAGUUGGAUAUCUUCAUCACCAUACCUUACUCUCUAGCUCAAAGUUGGCUCGGCCAGUGGGAGCCUUGGCAGAGGGUCCUGACUGCUCUGCUAAUCUUCCUUCAAGUCUGUGGAAUUUUCACAUGAUUUUUCUUCAGAGAAUAUUCUAGGAUAUUUGGGGAAUUGUUAUCAGAGUCCAUGGCUGCACUGGACUUGGAGAUGAAUGGAGUCAAAGAGGUAAAUGCGCUUUUGACCAGUUGUUAACCUGGUGGGGCAGAGGCUUGAGAUGGUGGGAGGUAUCACUGGAAAUGAAGCUGGAAUGAGAGGUUGGGGCUCAGAACUUUGGACUUUAUGUUGUAGACCAUGAGAAGCCAUGGAGAUUUUAUUAGGCAGGAAGUCUGUGUUGAGUCUCUGGCAAUGCUCUAGAGCACAAACUGGCUGCAGGAGGGACUGGAGAGAAAAGACCCGUUGUGACACUUUUAUAAUCCAGGUAGAAAAGUAUUGAAGGUUCUCAUGUUUGGGGAGUUGAGGAAAAGAUAAUGCAUUUCGUUUUAGACAUAAGGAUACAUUUUAGUGUCUGUGUGGUAGUCCGCAGGAAGGCUGGGUAAGUGUUUGGAACUGCCUGAGGCAAGGAAUCAGUGCCCAAAACAUGACUGACACAGAGACCUUUGACAGCAUGGUCACAAAAGCAAGAGAAAAAUGAAAGCAAACGGUGUGAAAAUCAUGAGAGAAAGGAGAGGUGGUUCUGAAAUGAGCAAAUUAUCUAGUCAGGAAGUAGAGUAUUUUCCUUUCUCCA
This is a long non-coding RNA of Bos indicus x Bos taurus (hybrid cattle), 1410 nucleotides long. NCBI's taxonomy places the organism in Eukaryota, Metazoa, Chordata, Mammalia, Artiodactyla, Bovidae. The record is from Ensembl.